GCUAAAAAUCUAACCCACUUGUAUACUCAUGAACUUAUCUACCACACAUAACCCACUAAAACAUUUUACCAUUUUAGUAAAGGAGAUUGAAAAACUAAUUGGAGUUAUAUAAAUAGUACCGCAAGGGAAAGAUGAAAUAAAAAUGAAAUAAACCUUAAAGCACAAAAAAGUAAAGAUUAUUCCUUGUACCUUUUGCAUCAUGGUCUAACUAGUUUAACCAGGCACAAAGCAUUAUAGUCUGACCCCCCGAAACUAAACGAGCUACUUCAGGGCAGCUUUAUGAGCAAACCCGUCUCUGUUGCAAAAGAGUGGGACGACCCCCGAGUAGAGGUGACAAACCUAACGAGCUUAGUGAUAGCUGGUUACUCAAGAAAAGGAUUUUAGUCCAACCUGAAGCCCUCACUUAUUAAUAGUAAUUAUACCUACGCUUCAGAGCAAUUCAAAUAAGGUACAGCCUAUUUGAAGCAGGAUACAACCUCAAUUAAUGGGUAAUAAACUAAAUCCACAAUCAAGUGGGCCCAAAAGCAGCCACCUUUUAAAAAGCGUCAAAGCUUUAUUGUAUUAUUUAACUAAUUUCUAAAUCCACUUCCAACCCUCUUUCAUUAUUGAGUAAUUCUAUAUAACUAUAGAACUUAUUAUGUUAAAACUAGUAACAAGAAGCUAACCUUCUCUUAUAUGCAAGUGUAAAUCAGAAAGGACCCCCCACUGAUAAUUAACGCUUAUGAAAUUACCCUAGUAACUCCAACAAGAAAACCCUAGUUUCCCCCACGUUAAACUAACACAAGAGCACCCCAAGAAAGAUUUUAAGAAAAAGAAGGAACUCGGCAAAUAUCAACCCCGCCUGUUUACCAAAAACAUCGCCUCUUGAAUAAAAUAAGAGGUCAAGCCUGCCCAGUGACCCCACAAGUUCAACGGCCGCGGUACCCUGACCGUGCGAAGGUAGCGUAAUCACUUGUUCUUUAAAUCAGGACUAGUAUGAAUGGCAUCACGAGGGUUGUACUGUCUCCUUUUUCCAAUCAGUGAAACUAAUCUCCCCGUGAAAAAGCGGGAAUAUUCUUAUAAGACGAGAAGACCCUAUGGAGCUUUAAAUUUUAUUUCAACUGCUUCCCCACCCCACCCCGUUGUGACAUUUUAUAUCAAACCAAGCAUGAUGAUAAUAUAAUUUUAGGUUGGGGUGACCGCGGAGCACAAAAAAACCUCCACAUUGAACUAGGCCUAAGCCCUGAACAAAGAGCCACAACCCUAAGUACUAGUAUACUAACAUCCAUUGACCCAAUAUUUGAUCAACGAACCAAGUUACCCUAGGGAUAACAGCGCAAUCUACUUUGAGAGCCCCUAUCGACAAGUGGGUUUACGACCUCGAUGUUGGAUCAGGGUAUCCCAGUGGUGCAGCCGCUACUAAAGGUUCGUUUGUUCAACGAUUAAAACCCU
This 1431-nucleotide ribosomal RNA is filed under the name Scinax caissara. RNAcentral describes it as "partial 16S large subunit ribosomal RNA". It matches the Rfam family "Bacterial large subunit ribosomal RNA", at positions 23 to 2597 of the family's 2925-position model. The record is from RNAcentral. Lineage: Eukaryota; Metazoa; Chordata; Amphibia; Anura; Hylidae.